CGCCUCCCGGCCCCGCCGCCGCCGCCGCCGCCGGGCAGGAUCUAUAAGAUACGGAUGUAGAGACACAGAGAGGUAAUGACAUUUACUGUAUACUAUUGGAUAGAGCAUCCCUGACUUGAAGACCUAGACUCCUGAGCACUCAUCAAUAGCUCCAAGGUGGCAAAGCUGUGCUUCCACCAUUAAAGCAAGCUCAAGCUAGCAUACUGAAGAGACCUGCCAAGAUCAGCAAAGCUGACUACAGAUGGACAAGCGAACCCAGCUGAGAACAGAGCAUUGCCUGGCCACCCUGUGGAUUCUUCCCUCUUUUUUCUUUCUCUCCCUU
This is a non-coding RNA of Leptonychotes weddellii (Weddell seal), 322 nucleotides long. The record is from RefSeq and is a predicted model, not a curated record. NCBI's taxonomy places the organism in Eukaryota, Metazoa, Chordata, Mammalia, Carnivora, Phocidae.